Molecule: ribosomal RNA, 485 nt
Filed under: Dethiobacter sp.
Lineage: Bacteria; Bacillati; Bacillota; Dethiobacteria; Dethiobacterales; Dethiobacteraceae
Description: bacterial SSU rRNA
Rfam family: Bacterial small subunit ribosomal RNA
Source: RNAcentral
UUUUUGGAGAGUUUGAUCCUGGCUCAGGACGAACGCUGGCGGCGUGCUUAACACAUGCAAGUCGAACGCUCCUAGAGGUUGGAGAUUAGAGGUUAGAAGCUGGAUUUAAAGCCCGUGUUUCGGGCGGCGGGCUAAAAGGAAAGCCCGAGGUCUAAUUUCCGACUUCCAAUCUCCAACCUCCAGAAGAGAGUGGCGCACGGGUGAGUAACACGUGGGCAAUCUGCCCGGAAGACUGGGAUAACAGCGCGAAAGUGCUGCUAAUACCGGAUACCUUCACGAAGUCGCAUGACUUUGUGCAGAAAGUUUUUCGCUUCCGGAUGAGCCCGCGUCCCAUUAGCUAGUUGGUGAGGUAACGGCCCACCAAGGCGACGAUGGGUAGCUGGUCUGAGAGGACGAUCAGCCACACUGGAACUGAGACACGGUCCAGACUCCUACGGGAGGCAGCAGUGGGGAAUCUUGCGCAAUGGGCGAAAGCCUGACGCAGC